RNAcentral lists this ribosomal RNA (491 nucleotides) under uncultured Escherichia sp. RNAcentral describes it as "bacterial SSU rRNA". It matches the Rfam family "Bacterial small subunit ribosomal RNA", at positions 948 to 1439 of the family's 1533-position model. The record is from RNAcentral. Lineage: Bacteria; Pseudomonadati; Pseudomonadota; Gammaproteobacteria; Enterobacterales; Enterobacteriaceae.
AAUUCGAUGCAACGCGAAGAACCUUACCUGGUCUUGACAUCCACGGAAGUUUUCAGAGAUGAGAAUGUGCCUUCGGGAACCGUGAGACAGGUGCUGCAUGGCUGUCGUCAGCUCGUGUUGUGAAAUGUUGGGUUAAGUCCCGCAACGAGCGCAACCCUUAUCCUUUGUUGCCAGCGGUCCGGCCGGGAACUCAAAGGAGACUGCCAGUGAUAAACUGGAGGAAGGUGGGGAUGACGUCAAGUCAUCAUGGCCCUUACGACCAGGGCUACACACGUGCUACAAUGGCGCAUACAAAGAGAAGCGAUCUCGCGAGAGCAAGCGGACCUCAUAAAGUGCGUCGUAGUCCGGAUUGGAGUCUGCAACUCGACUCCAUGAAGUCGGAAUCGCUAGUAAUCGUGGAUCAGAAUGCCACGGUGAAUACGUUCCCGGGCCUUGUACACACCGCCCGUCACACCAUGGGAGUGGGUUGCAAAAGAAGUAGGUAGCUUAAC